GCAAGUCGAGGGGCAUCAUGUCGGUUGCUUGCAACCGAUGAUGGCGACCGGCGCACGGGUGCGUAACGCGUAUCCAACCUUCCGCACACUAAGGGAUAACCCGUUGAAAGACGGCCUAAUACCUUAUGUCAUUUACGGCAGACAUCUAAUGUAGAGUAAAGAAUCAUCGGUGUGUGAUGGGGAUGCGUCUGAUUAGGCAGUUGGCGGGGUAACGGCCCACCAAAACGACGAUCAGUAGGGGUUCUGAGAGGAAGGUC
Molecule: ribosomal RNA, 257 nt
Filed under: uncultured bacterium
Lineage: Bacteria
Description: partial 16S ribosomal RNA
Rfam family: Bacterial small subunit ribosomal RNA
Source: RNAcentral